This 236-nucleotide unclassified non-coding RNA is filed under the name uncultured Spizellomyces. Its description in RNAcentral is "sequence contains ITS2". Lineage: Eukaryota; Fungi; Chytridiomycota. The record is from RNAcentral.
AAAUCUCACAAACCUGGUUUACGUUCGCGAAAACUGGGGGAAGUGGAUGUGGGUGCACUUGCAAGCCUGGCUUGCGAUGCAUCUAUAAAUGAUUGUGACGUGCGCCAAUUGUCGUGUCAACUGGUCGUCCGAAGCGCAACAGAUUCAUCUAUUCGUUUUGGUCAUCACUGGCUGACUUGGAGGCAUGUACUCAACUUGUCAACCGGGGCCCUGCAGUUUGCAGGAGCUCGCUGAUA